RNAcentral lists this ribosomal RNA (433 nucleotides) under uncultured bacterium. Its description in RNAcentral is "partial 16S ribosomal RNA". It matches the Rfam family "Bacterial small subunit ribosomal RNA", at positions 29 to 507 of the family's 1533-position model. The record is from RNAcentral.
AACGAACGCUGGCGGCAUGCCUAACUCAUGCAAGUCGAACGAGACCUUCGGGUCUAGUGGCGCACGGGUGCGUAACGCGUGGGAACCUGCCCUUAGGUUCGGAAUAACUCCCCGAAAGGGGUGCUAAUACCGGAUAGUGUCUUCGGACCAAAGAUUUAUCGCCUUUGGAUGGGCCCGCGUUGGAUUAGCUAGUUGGUAGGGUAAAAGCCUACCAAGGCGACGAUCCAUAGCUGGUCUGAGAGGAUGAUCAGCCACACUGGGACUGAGACACGGCCCAGACUCCUACGGGAGGCAGCAGUGGGGAAUAUUGGACAAUGGGCGAAAGCCUGAUCCAGCAAUGCCGCGUGAGUGAUGAAGGCCUUAGGGUUGUAAAGCUCUUUUACCCGGGAUGAUAAUGACAGUACCGGGAGAAUAAGCGCCGGCUAACUCCGUG